Molecule: non-coding RNA, 848 nt
Organism: Arachis ipaensis
Lineage: Eukaryota; Viridiplantae; Streptophyta; Magnoliopsida; Fabales; Fabaceae
Source: RefSeq, a predicted model, not a curated record
UCCGUCGAUUGGUUGUGUAGAGGAACCCCAAACCCUAACUCCAGCGCUAAUCAAAACGCGCCUCUGCCUUUCUCACACUCAGCCACUGUCCAGAGCUCCUCUGAGCUCCUGCUCCUCCCUCACUCCCACACUUCCGUCCAGCCACAACUUACUACCAUCGCCGUCGCAACUUCUAACUUCGAACAGCCACCGUUGCAAACUUCCAACUUCGAACAGCCACCACCUGCUCCCUCACUUCCCUUUCAUCGCGCAGCAAAUGUCGCAAACUUCCUUCCCUCCGUCCCACAGCCACCGUUCGAAUGUCGAAGCCUCCAUCGCGCAGCCACUGUCACGCUACGCUAGUUCUGUUCCACCGCGUUCCAGUCCUUUCAGCGGCGUCAGCUCUGUUCCAUUGCUCAGCCCUUCCCUCGUAGAUCAUUCCCUGGAAAUUUCCUCUUCUCAUGUUUGCUUGGAAGGUUGGACUGGCAUUGGCCUGUGGUAAUACUAUUGUUCUCAACCGUUGAGCAGGCACCAUUGUCUGCUUUGUACGCAGCAAAAUUAUUUCAUGAGGUGGACACAUAUUCUCUGUUAAUGGAACCAUGCUCAUUUGCUAGUUUGGAAGAUAUAAAGAGGCGUAGUUUAAACUAAAAUAGCUUUGUUACUGGUCUAUCAUUUUUCUCUAUGUAUUCCUCAUAAUUGGAUCGAGUCCUUUCAAGUUCUAUUUGAGUGGAUUAUUUUUCCUUAUUUAAACACAACUUUGUAUGAACAAUUUCAAGAGAGAUAGAAUACUUAAGUUUUGGGUAUUCACUAUUAGACAUUAUGCUUGCAGUGCGCAAGGUACCAUCAGCUGAUUUAGUUAUUACAAUCCU